GCCAUAAAACUGGAAACAACUCAACGAAUGGUGAAUCAAUAACGUGUAGCACAUUCAUACAAUGAAAUACUACUCAGCAACAAAAGGAAAUGAGCUACUGAUACCCACAACAGCAUAGAUAAGUUUCAAAAUAAUUAUGCUGAGUGAAAGAAGCCGGACAACAACAAAGAGUAGAUACUGUAUGAUUCCAUUUAUAUGAAAUUCUAGGAAAUGCAAAGUAAUAUAUAAUGACAAAAGCAGAGGGGCGAAGGAGGAAUUUAAAAAGGGCAGAAGGAAACUUUUUGGGAUCAUGGAUAAGUUCGUCAUCUUGAUUGUGGUGAUGAUUUCACAGGUAUAUACAUACGUUGAAACUUCAAAUUGCACACUUUAAAUUUGCCCAGUUUAUUGUAUGUCAGUUAUAUCCCAAUAAAGCUGUAGAACAGCAACAACAAAGAGAUGGCUAGGCAAGCAUAUUACAGUAGUUGAAGUUUGACGUUAGAAAUUCACUGAAUCUUCUCUGAAGUCAUUGUCCUCUGACAGUUGUCUGCAGGUUUCAAGCUAUCCACCUACACAGAAUGUGCAAUCUGCUGGGCUUCAAAAGCACACAUUGAGGCAGAUGGCCAACAGCUGACAAUUCACUUAAUUUCUCUUUUUAAAUAGUUAUAUACUUGAAAAAGGAUCGAGUUUGAAUUAAAUCCUCACAGAAAAUUUCUAUCACAGCAUGGGAUUCACUUCAAUAAAGCAUCUUCCCACUGUCAUAAAUCUGCUUGUGUUCUUUUGGCAAAAUUUUCUUCCCACUCAACCUGGCUUUGUUAUCUUGUCAAGCCAGACAAAAAUUCACCUCCUGUAUAAAGCCGUCUCUGAUCAUCUGCCUUUUUAAAUUUUUUAAUUUUUUAAUUUUUCUUUUUUGAGAUGGAGUCUCACUCUGCCACCCAGGUUGGAUGGAGUGCAGUGGUGCAAUCUCGGCUCACUGCAACCUCCGCCUCCCUGGUUCAAGUGAUCCUCCUUCCUCAGCCUCCUGAGUAGCUGGGAUGACAGGCGCACCACCACACCCAGCUAAUUCUUUGUAUUUUCAUUAGAGAUGGAGUUUUACAAUGUCGACCAGACUGAUCUCAAACUCCCGACCUCAAGUGAUCCACCAGCCUUGGCCUCCCAAAGUGCUGGGAUUAACAGGCAUGAGCCACCGUGACCGGCCUCAUCUGCCUUUUAGCACCAUAGAGAGGUGCCAUUAACCACCUGGUUUAUAUUGCCAGCAUGUAGGGGCUGUAAUAUGGUACCCCAGCCCCACCUCCCUACCCCAUCAUUAUUUUUUCUUAAAGAAAAUAAGCUUGCCACUUAGAAUUUAAACUUUACAAUUAAGAUAAACUGAUUUAGAGAAUAAAUGUAGACACUUGAAACAGUCACAAGGAUCCCCAAACCAGAUUAUAAUCUGACUGAAAAUAUUAGCAUAUCAGAGAUAGAAAAAGAGAUGUACCUAAGAUGGGAGGACAAUCAUCAGUGGACACUUACUGUCCAGGAAAAAAGAACCUAUGUGUACACCUUGAUGCUCUGAAGCUAUCAAAUUAUUUGAAAUUUAGAAUCCACUAAUUAAUUCCUCUUGCUCUAGAUUCAAGUUUCAAAAACAACCUUUUGGCUGUAAUUUGGCUCCCAAAUGUGGCACAUAUACCAAGAGAUAUUUUGCUGGGAUCAUAAAAGAGAGUUAACAUCUUAGUUCCCUAAGAUGUUAAAAUUCUCAUUAUAAAUUAGUAAUUUGUUAUUCUGGGUUUAUAUAGUAGUCCUGUGAUUUAUCAGUUUAAGAAACAGACUAGGCUGGGUGCAGUGGCUCAUGCCUAUAGUCUCAGCACUUUGGGAGGGUGGGGUGGUAGGAUUGCCUGAAGCCAGGAGUUUGAGACCAGCCUAGGCAACAUAGCAAGACUCCAUCUCUACACAAAAUAAUUUUUUAAAAGUAGCCGGAAAUGGUGGUACACAACUGUGAUCUCAGCUACUUGGGAGGCCAAGGCAAGAGGAUCCCUUGAGCCCAGGAGUUGGAGACUGCAGGGAGCUAUGAUUGCACCACUUCACUCCAACCUAGGCAACACAGUGAGACUCCAUCUCUGAAAAAAAAAAAAAAAAAGAAAGAAAGAAAAAGAAAAGAAACAGACUUAACAAGUUAAAGACCAGAUUUCAACAUAUUUUCCAAGAUAAUGCCACUUUCUAUGGCCUGUUAGGGAAGUCAGCUUUCCUUGGAGAGAGAGAGAGAGAGAGAUAGAGAUGUCUACAGUUCAUCUUUCUGUUACAGCACUUACUCCAUACUCCAGUUACUGAAGCAUAUUAUAGAACUACAGAUUCUGAGUUACUUGAGGGUAGUUUUGUAUCCAGUUUGUGCUGGCCUCCACCAUCAUUGCUCAAUAAGUAACACUGAACUGAACUGAAUUUGGAUAACAUGCAAAGCUGCUUUUUUACAUUUUUUAGUUGAUUGGGAGUUAGAAAAUCGUACCAAAAACACCACUCCCCAAGUAUAACCUCUAAUACGCUAACAUUCAUUAAACCUCUAACACUAUAGCUAAAGUUGUUACAUUUUUUAAAGUACGCUAAACUGGGGAAUUGAUUUUUAAAUGAAGGGCAAAGUAGCACUAACCUCAGUCAAGUUACUGUAAGUGUUUCAUUUGGGAAUUGUGAAAUUUUUUAAAAACAUUUCAAGACUUAUCAUUACAUCAACGAAGAUGAAUAUAGGUGUAGUUUGUCAGAUGAGUAACUAUUAAGGAAACCAUGAAUGUUUGCUAUCUACUUUCACAAUUAAACCACAAUUUAGAGGAUCAAAUUCUAACCCUACAAACUUUUUUUUAACCAAAGACAGGGAGAAAAAUCAUACUCUUGUGAUAAGGAGUCAUAAUUCAUUUUAAAUUCUGCAGGAUUAAUGCUGCUUUCCAGAUAAGAAUAAUUCACCCCGUGUGCGUAAAGUGAUUAAGGAGCCUUGGAAUUAUAAAUACACAUUCAGAUUAAUUUUUUUGUUCUAAGCUUUAAAUAAAAU
This 2989-nucleotide long non-coding RNA is filed under the name Pan troglodytes (chimpanzee). RNAcentral's name for it is "long non-coding RNA NONPTRT008736". The record is from RNAcentral. Lineage: Eukaryota; Metazoa; Chordata; Mammalia; Primates; Hominidae.